CAGCCAGACGCGGAGAGAAAAAUUUCUAGACCCUCAUCUCGGAUUUCUUGUACCCGAGGAACCCCUGUGGUGUUUAGGACCUUUCGCCCCACGUCUCAGCUUGUUCUCAUUCACGGAACUAGUUGAUAAUCCUCGGAAGGAUUGCCACGCGCGAACGCGGCCAAAAGGUUCACCCUCACAGUCCAAUAAUUCUGAUCCUAAGCCACACGGUUCUCCCACAUGAUCAAGUAGCAGAGGAAUUCACAAGACCAACAGCGCUCGGAAUUGGACGAUGAUUUUGGACUCUACUCUUCCGGACGAUAGACUUAUACCAAUUGACAAAGCCUGAUCUAUCCACUACUUAUGCGAGCGUGAUUUUCAGAGGUCGGCUUGCUUUGUAGGAUUAUAAGCCCGGCUAUGAAGAACCAGCACCAGCGAGCAAUGGCUACCAGUUACAAAUCACUGGGUACCAGUUACCAGUUGGCAGUUGCCACCUCGGUUGAUCUCUGUUGGCCUCAAUCCACUUGAUCAAUGUCUCCAUGCCGUUCUCGUUAGCUUUUUUUAUUGCUACAGUCACUCUAAAAU
RNAcentral lists this long non-coding RNA (564 nucleotides) under Cotesia glomerata. RNAcentral's name for it is "uncharacterized LOC123270718, transcript variant X2". Lineage: Eukaryota; Metazoa; Arthropoda; Insecta; Hymenoptera; Braconidae. The record is from RNAcentral.